Molecule: ribosomal RNA, 491 nt
Filed under: uncultured bacterium
Lineage: Bacteria
Description: partial 16S ribosomal RNA
Rfam family: Bacterial small subunit ribosomal RNA
Source: RNAcentral
AGUGAACGCUGGCGGUAGGCCUAACACAUGCCAGUCGAACGGCAGCACAGUAAGAGCUUGCUCUUACGGGUGGCGAGUGGCGGACGGGUGAGGAAUACAUCGGAAUCUACUUUUUCGUGGGGGAUAACGUAGGGAAACUUACGCUAAUACCGCAUACGACCUACGGGUGAAAGCAGGGGAUCUUCGGACCUUGCGCGAUUGAAUGAGCCGAUGUCGGAUUAGCUAGUUGGCGGGGUAAAGGCCCACCAAGGCGACGAUCCGUAGCUGGUCUGAGAGGAUGAUCAGCCACACUGGAACUGAGACACGGUCCAGACUCCUACGGGAGGCAGCAGUGGGGAAUAUUGGACAAUGGGCGCAAGCCUGAUCCAGCCAUACCGCGUGGUGAAGAAGGCCUUCGGGUUGUAAAGCCCUUUUGUUGGGAAAGAAAAGCAGCAGGUUAAUACCCCGCUGUUCUGACGGUACCCAAAGAAUAAGCACCGGCUAACUUCGUG